RNAcentral lists this ribosomal RNA (440 nucleotides) under uncultured bacterium. RNAcentral's name for it is "bacterial SSU rRNA". It matches the Rfam family "Bacterial small subunit ribosomal RNA", at positions 338 to 794 of the family's 1533-position model. The record is from RNAcentral.
CCUACGGGUGGCUGCAGUCGAGGAUCUUCGGCAAUGGGCGCAAGCCUGACCGAGCGACGCCGCGUGUGCGAUGAAGGCCUUCGGGUUGUAAAGCACUGUCAGGGGGGAAAAAUCAUUGAUUGAUCCCCAGAGGAAGCACGGGCUAAGUUCGUGCCAGCAGCCGCGGUAAGACGAACCGUGCGAACGUUGUUCGGAAUCACUGGGCUUAAAGGGCGCGUAGGCGGUCUACCAAGUCGGGGUUGAAAUCUUUCGGCUCAACCGGAAAAGUGGCUUCGAUACUGGUAGGCUGGAGGGAGGUAGGGGCGGAUGGAACUUCCGGUGGAGCGGUGAAAUGUGUUGAUAUCGGAAGGAACGCCGGUGGCGAAAGCGAUCCGCUGGACCUCUUCUGACGCUGAGGCGCGAAAGCCAGGGGAGCAAACGGGAUUAGAUACCCCAGUAGU